ACAUCUAUCGAAGAGAGUACAGACAAGACAACCCCAAAGUGAAGCACUUAUGAACACAAUAAUCAUCAGUGUCUCCAUUUGAGUGAUACAUCUAUCGAAGAGAGUACAGACAAGACAACCCCAAAGUGAAGCACUUAUGAACACAAUAAUCAUCAGUGUCUCCAUUUGAGUGAUACAUCUAUCGAAGAGAGUACAGACAAGACAACCCCAAAGUGAAGCACUUAUGAACACAAUAAUCAUCAGUGUCUCCAUUUGAGUGAUACAUCUAUCGAAGAGAGUACAGACAAGACAACCCCAAAGUGAAGCACUUAUGAACACAAUAAUCAUCAGUGUCUCCAUUUGAGUGAUACAUCUAUCGAAGAGAGUACAGACAAGACAACCCCAAAGUGAAGCACUUAUGAACACAAUAAUCAUCAGUGUCUCCAUUUGAGUGAUACAUCUAUCGAAGAGAGUACAGACAAGACAACCCCAAAGUGAAGCACUUAUGAACACAAUAAUCAUCAGUGUCUCCAUUUGAGUGAUACAUCUAUCGAAGAGAGUACAGACAAGACAACCCCAAAGUGAAGCACUUAUGAACACAAUAAUCAUCAGUGUCUCCAUUUGAGUGAUACAUCUAUCGAAGAGAGUACAGACAAGACAACCCCAAAGUGAAGCACUUAUGAACACAAUAAUCAUCAGUGUCUCCAUUUGA
Plectropomus leopardus (leopard coralgrouper) is the source of this 691-nucleotide non-coding RNA. The record is from RefSeq and is a predicted model, not a curated record. NCBI's taxonomy places the organism in Eukaryota, Metazoa, Chordata, Actinopteri, Perciformes, Serranidae.